This 481-nucleotide ribosomal RNA is filed under the name uncultured bacterium. RNAcentral describes it as "SSU rRNA". It matches the Rfam family "Bacterial small subunit ribosomal RNA", at positions 26 to 517 of the family's 1533-position model. The record is from RNAcentral.
AGGACGAACGCUGGCGGCGUGCCUAACACAUGCAAGUCGAACGAGGUUCAUUCAGUAGCAAUACUGGAGAAGACCAAGUGGCGAACGGGUGAGUAGCACGUGAGCAACCUACCCCGAAGACCGGGACAACACCGGGAAACCGGUGCUAAUACUGGAUAUCCCCAUCGGAUCGCAUGGUUUGAUGAGGAAAUGGAUUCCGCUUCGGGAGGGGCUCGCGGCCUAUCAGCUAGUUGGUGAGGUAACGGCUCACCAAGGCGUCGACGGGUAGCUGGUCUGAGAGGACGAUCAGCCACACUGGGACUGAGACACGGCCCAGACUCCUACGGGAGGCAGCAGUGGGAAUCUUGCACAAUGGGCGAAAGCCUGAUGCAGCAACGCCGCGUGAGGGACGAAGGCUUUCUGAGUUGUAAACCUCUUUCAGCAGGGACGAUUAUGACGGUACCUGCAGAAGAAGCACCGGCCAACUACGUGCCAGCAGCCG